UCCACUGUCAACCUAAACACAAGUGCUGUUUA
Molecule: non-coding RNA, 32 nt
Filed under: Rattus norvegicus (Norway rat)
Lineage: Eukaryota; Metazoa; Chordata; Mammalia; Rodentia; Muridae
Source: RNAcentral